GAGUGUUCGAAUCACGAAGCAGAGAGAGAGAGGGGGGAAGAGAGGAGUUCUGAUUCUAACCAGAGUUUGUGAUUUAACCCUAGACUUACGCGUUAGGUUAAAGAGACGACUGUGAAGAAGAAGAAGAAGAAGAAGAAGAAGAAGAAGAAGAAGAAGAAGAAGAAGAAGUAGACGGCGACUCAUUGACAGAGAUAUAGCAGUGAGCUUCAACCACUGUAAAGAAGAACGGAGAACGGGGAACGGAGAAGGUUCUGAUUCUGUCGUGAAGGGGGAGAAAUUUUGCCCCAUUUUGGAGGGCCUUCUUAUUCUUCUUGGAAUCUUUUCGAUUGCUUCUCUGCAGGUUUUCACUGUUGAAUGACACGCAUUCGUUGCUAAUGUGCUACGUUGUUUGAUUUCCCCCGCUUCUCCUAGAUCUUUAAUUUCAAUUGGGCUCUGCAUAUCCUGUUCAAUGGGUAUGUCAAUGUAGUAUAAAGUCUUCAGUCUCUGUCGUUGGUUUCUUUGGGCAUCUCUUCACUGAGGAUCUUUAGUGGGAUUUUGAUACUGUGUCGACCGAUUAAUGAUUUUUAGGGUACAAGAUUUUGUUGAAGCUCAUUCAGCAUCGGCUUUAGAGUUGAGCACUCUUCUGGGGGAGAAGGAACUCUCUUCCAUUGCCACCUCUUUUGCCUGCUGCUUACACUGUCUGUGUGCGCAUUUGUAAUUAAUGCAUCGUAAAUUGGAUAGCCCUGUCCAGACGCAGAUGGCCACAGCAGCAGGCUUUAAGAGUCCACUCGGUCGAGAGUUUGGCGGGAGCAAGAUGAUGGAAGGGAAACUGUCUUCAGGGAGGAGAAGGGUCUUUGUGCAAACUGACACUGGUUGUGUCCUGGGGAUGGAAUUGGAUCGGAGUGAUAAUGCUCAUACUGUGAAGAGGAGGUUACAGCUUGCGCUCAAUGUACCAACUGAUGAGAGCUCUUUGACAUUUGGGGAUAUGGUACUGAAGAACGACCUCAGUGCCGUACGAAACGAUUCUCCCCUUCUUCUUACACGAAACAUUUUGCACAGAAGCUCAUCGACUCCUUGUCUCUCGCCUACUGGAAGGGAUAUUCAGCAAAGAGAUCAGAGUGGUCCUAUUGAGAUAUUGGGGCAUUCUGAUCGCUUUAUUAGAACAAAGCAACUGGUUUGUGAGAUUACAAAAGCAAUUAAAGUUGGUGUAGAUCCUAUUCCUGUUCAUAGUGGACUUGGUGGUGCAUACUAUUUCAGAAAUAACAGAGGUGAGAGCGUUGCGAUUGUGAAGCCUACGGAUGAAGAACCUUUUGCACCAAACAAUCCAAAAGGAUUUGUUGGUAAAGCUCUUGGUCAACCUGGGUUAAAACGAUCAGUGCGUGUUGGGGAGACUGGAUUUCGUGAGGUUGCAGCUUAUCUUCUUGACUACGAUCACUUUGCUAAUGUGCCUCCCACUGCCUUGGUGAAGAUUACCCACUCGAUCUUCAAUGUCAAUGAUGGAGUAAAUGGUAACAUGCCGAGUAAGAAGAAGCUGGUUAGCAAGAUUGCAUCCUUACAAGAAUUCAUACCACAUGAUUUUGAUGCCAGUGAUCAUGGAACUUCCAGCUUCCCAGUAGUGGCUGUGCAUCGUAUAGGCAUACUAGACAUUAGAGUUUUUAACACAGAUAGGCAUGCUGGAAAUCUUUUAGUUAGGAAACUUGAUGGUGUUGGGAGGUUUGGUCAAGUGGAGCUCAUUCCUAUUGAUCAUGGACUCUGCUUGCCAGAAACAUUAGAGGAUCCAUAUUUUGAGUGGAUUCAUUGGCCGCAGGCAUCAAUUCCAUUUUCAGAGGAUGAGCUCAAGUAUAUCAAAGAUCUCAACCCAUUUAAAGAUAGUGAGAUGUUGAGGAUGGAGCUCCCCAUGAUUCACGAGGCUUGUCUCAGGGUUCUGGUUCUCUGCACGAUCUUCCUGAAGGAAGCUGCUGCAUUUGGUCUUUGUCUUGCCGAGAUCGGCGAGAUGAUGACUAGGGAGUUUCGUAGUGCAGAGGAGGAUCCCAGUGAACUUGAACUUAUAUGCAUGGAGGCUAGAAAGCUGAUCAAAGAGAAGGAGGUCUUAUCCCCUCGGGCAGAUUUAGGCGAUGAGGAAUUUCAGUUUGAUAUAGACUGCGACGAAGAGGAGUUAGAUUUUAGCCAAGAGAUAGAAGCAGAUGAUUUUAACCCAACAGCACCAUUCCACUUCCACGGUGGCGGUAUACGUGGACGUUUUCCUCUUCGUAAACUGGAGGAAAGCAUCGAGGAAGAAAACAGUGAAGAAGAUGAGCAAGGAGGCUUCGCCGAUCUGUUUUCUUCUGAAAGGAUUCCAACUAUUUCAAAGCUUUCCAUGUCACUGAAGAAUACCAGUCUGGGUGAGAAGAAUAAGAAACACGCCAAGUACUCUGGAACAAGACCUGAGAAUGGAUAUAUGAUGACCAAUACAUCAUCUGGCCACAGAAGUGCAAAUGAACAGCUUCCAGCCAGUGUAACCUUUGUGAAGCUAGCUGAUAUGAACGAAGAUGCAUGGUCACUAUACUUAGAGAAGUUUCAAGAGCUACUUCACCCGGCAUUUGCUAAGCGAAAAUCCGCAACUCUAGGCCAGAGGCAGAGGCAGAGGCUUGGUACUUCUUGCCAAUUUUGAGAUUGAGCUAAGAAGAGUUGAUUGAUUGAUGAUAACUUUGAUGAUGCAAGGGGUUUUCUGGUUUCUGUUCGAGACACGACUACAUUUAGAAGGUCUGAGCAGGUGGCAUGGCGGGAUCAGCUGGAUGAGUACAAAUUGUUGGUCACAAAACAAAGGUAAGAGAUAUUGGACGAAGAAGUGCACAGGUGAAGAAGGUGAAGUAGCAGUAGAAGAAGGGCAAACACAUACACACAAAAUGCCAAUAGAAUCGUCUUCCUGACCUAUCGAUUGCAUACGAUAAUGUAUCGAAUCAUCGAAACGUAUACAAAAAUUUCAAGUCCGUCUUUGUACCUUUUAAGUCAGGAUGCAACCCCUUACUCAACUCGUAGAAUCAAAUCGCCAAGUAUCUCGGACUCGACGUUGAUGGAAGAACUUUGAAGCUUUAAGAACUCACAUUUGAUUUAUGGAAGCAAAAAUGAGAUAUUCAACAACCCUAAUGAUUAUUCGAACAAGCAAGAUUUCAUGGUCAUGCUUGUCCAAAGCAUGUCACCUGUGGCUGCAUGACAGAUGUCUCAGUCUUGUUUGUCUGAGUCGGUUGACAGAAAGGAUGUCACGGUUAUGCUUGUCCAAAGCAUGUUGCUUAUGGCCGCAUGACAAAUGUCCCAAUCUUGCUUGUUCGAGUCGGUUGACAGGGACGUCGACCAAUUGAGUAGGGGAGGAAGUCACGGUCAUGUUUGUCGAAGGCAUGUUGCCUAUGGUUGCAUGCCCAUUCCAAACCUCCUUUUCAUGCUUUCAUCUUAGAUAGACCUUUACUAUUUCAUAUCCGGUCAUAUCUAUAUAAAAGAGCUAAAUUAUUAGGAUUCCAAUUA
RNA transcript from Cucurbita pepo subsp. pepo (vegetable marrow), 3477 nucleotides. It is a transcript of the gene named phosphatidylinositol 4-kinase gamma 5, with no coding region annotated. The record is from RefSeq and is a predicted model, not a curated record. Lineage: Eukaryota; Viridiplantae; Streptophyta; Magnoliopsida; Cucurbitales; Cucurbitaceae.